CUCCCUGUAGUUCAAUGGAUAGAACGGCCGCCUCCUAAGCGGCAGAUCUGGGUUCGAUUCCCGGCGGGGGGACCA
This 75-nucleotide transfer RNA is filed under the name Rhodocyclaceae bacterium. Its description in RNAcentral is "tRNA-Arg". It matches the Rfam family "tRNA". From Rfam's summary of the family: Transfer RNA (tRNA) molecules are approximately 80 nucleotides in length. Their secondary structure includes four short double-helical elements and three loops (D, anti-codon, and T loops). Lineage: Bacteria; Pseudomonadati; Pseudomonadota; Betaproteobacteria; Rhodocyclales; Rhodocyclaceae. The record is from RNAcentral. RNAcentral also lists the same sequence under 1 other name.